ACUUUUUGAUCUCUUAUUUUCCGCCUAUCAAACGACCGGAAUUUUUGUGUCGUAGCAUACAAAUAUAUGUCUAGUAAGUAGUCAAUGGACUCGUUCGUUAUUUGAAAGAUUUUUUACUGUCUUCGGUCACAAUUUUUCUCGGGCAAAAUAUUUAAGGUGUUCCAGGAGUGACGACAAUGGAAUUAAAUUUCGAAGAUAUUGAAACAUCGCACUGGAAAAUUGAUUAUAUUUAAAUGGUAAGAUAUAUUUUAAAUGCAAUGAACUAUGAAAUUACGUGAAAAUUAAUUCUUGUAAUACGUGACGAUGGUAUUUAUUGUUGUAGCCAACGAUUUUUCCAUUCAUCAGACGGGAUAGAGAGUGAAUUGCUACUAAAAGGAAAAUUUUGAAGUCUAUAUUUCCGAACCAGGAACUAACAAAGAUCACGGCUGGAUUCGAGUGUUGAGAUGAUACUGAAGUUAGCAGGGUCAUGUGUUGAGUCGUCACUGAAACUUCAUCCAAUUAUUUUUUAAUAAUUAUUUACAAUGAAGAUGAUAAUUAAGUUGGAGUGAAGAUUUCGAUGAUGUGUUGAUUUCAAAACUCACAGUAAAAACGAUUGCUUCCGGAUGAAAUGAGUCUUGCAGAUAAUUUAGAAUUACAACCGCCGAGAAACUGAAAGAAUUGUCUGCUGGUCUGGACGUUUCUCGGUGUGGUGAGCCAAGUUUUUUUAUAGUAUUUAAAAUUUUUUAUGGUAUUACAAUUUAAAUAGUGU
Molecule: long non-coding RNA, 748 nt
Organism: Microplitis mediator
Lineage: Eukaryota; Metazoa; Arthropoda; Insecta; Hymenoptera; Braconidae
Exons: 4
Source: RefSeq, a predicted model, not a curated record